CCCUUAGAUGUUCGGGGCCGCACGCGCGCUACACUGAAGGAAUCAGCACGUCUUUCUCCUUGUCCGAAAGGACUGGGUAACCCGCUGAACCUCCUUCGUGCUAGGGAUUGGGGCUUGUAAUUCUUCCCCAUGAACGAGGAAUUCCCAGUAAGCGCGAGUCAUAAGCUCGCGUUGAUUACGUCCCUGCCCUUUGUACACACCGCCCGUCGCUACUACCGAUUGGAUGGUUUAGUGAGAUUCUCGGAUUGGUCCCGGCGCGGCCUCUGGUCGUGCCGGAGUGCCGAAAAGAAUGUCGAACUUGAUCAUCUAGAGGAAGUAAAAGUCGUAACA
Molecule: ribosomal RNA, 330 nt
Filed under: uncultured eukaryote
Lineage: Eukaryota
Description: partial 18S ribosomal RNA
Rfam family: Eukaryotic small subunit ribosomal RNA
Source: RNAcentral